RNAcentral lists this ribosomal RNA (255 nucleotides) under uncultured bacterium. RNAcentral describes it as "partial 16S ribosomal RNA". It matches the Rfam family "Bacterial small subunit ribosomal RNA", at positions 99 to 354 of the family's 1533-position model. The record is from RNAcentral.
CGGACGGGUGAGUAACGCGUGAGCAACCUGCCUUCGAGAGGGGAAUAACGGCUGGAAACGGUCGCUAAUACCGCAUAACAUACCGGGAGGACAUCCUGCUGGUAUCAAAGAUUUAUCGCUCGAAGAUGGGCUCGCGUCCGAUUAGGUAGUUGGUGAGGUAACGGCUCACCAAGCCGACGAUCGGUAGCCGGACUGAGAGGUUGAACGGCCACAUUGGGACUGAGACACGGCCCAGACUCCUACGGAAGGCAGCAG